AGCCCCGUAGUGUAGCGGCCAAGCAUGCGAGCCUUUGGAGCUCGCGACCCAGGUUCGAAUCCUGGCGGGGCUA
This 73-nucleotide transfer RNA is filed under the name Candidatus Woesearchaeota archaeon. RNAcentral's name for it is "tRNA-Gln". It matches the Rfam family "tRNA". Rfam says of the family: Transfer RNA (tRNA) molecules are approximately 80 nucleotides in length. Their secondary structure includes four short double-helical elements and three loops (D, anti-codon, and T loops). Lineage: Archaea; Nanobdellati; Candidatus Woesearchaeota. The record is from RNAcentral.